UUGUCCGGCCACCAUUUCAAUCCUAGGAAUGGAUAUGAAUUCGAGUUUAUUCGGGAAAUAGUCAAAUAUGUAUCCAACAAAUUGAAUCAUGUCCUUUUACAUGUUGUUGAUUACCCCGUUGGCCUACAACAUCGAGUUUUAAAAGUAAACUCACUUCUAAAAGUUGGAUCUAAUGAUAAAGUCAAGAUGCUUGGGAUCUAUGGACCAGGAGGGAUAGGUAAGACAACACUUGCAAAAGCGGUUUAUAAUUUCAUUGCUGGUCAAUUUGAAUGUGUCUGUUUCCUUCACAAUGUGAGAGAAAAUUCAGCAAAACAUGGCUUAGAGCAUCUCCAAAAAGAUUUGCUUUCCAAGAUUGUUGGAUUGGACAUUAA
This 371-nucleotide long non-coding RNA is filed under the name Medicago truncatula (barrel medic). RNAcentral describes it as "lncRNA gene37151". Lineage: Eukaryota; Viridiplantae; Streptophyta; Magnoliopsida; Fabales; Fabaceae. The record is from RNAcentral.